This 88-nucleotide transfer RNA is filed under the name Macrolepiota fuliginosa MF-IS2. It matches the Rfam family "tRNA". From Rfam's summary of the family: Transfer RNA (tRNA) molecules are approximately 80 nucleotides in length. Lineage: Eukaryota; Fungi; Basidiomycota; Agaricomycetes; Agaricales; Agaricaceae. The record is from Rfam by way of RNAcentral.
GGGCACAUGGUGUAGUUGGUUAUCACGCCCGCUUAGCAUUUGUAAAGUGGUCUGCAGGCGGUCCCCAGUUCAAUUCCGGGUGUGUCCA